Molecule: ribosomal RNA, 253 nt
Filed under: uncultured bacterium
Lineage: Bacteria
Description: partial 16S ribosomal RNA
Rfam family: Bacterial small subunit ribosomal RNA
Source: RNAcentral
UACGGGGGGGGCAAGCGUUGUUCGGAAUUACUGGGCGUAAAGGGCUCGUAGGUGGCCAACUAAGUCAGACGUGAAAUCCCUCGGCUUAACCGGGGAACUGCGUCUGAUACUGGACGGCUUGAGUUUGGGAGAGGGACGCGGAAUUCCAGGUGUAGCGGUGAAAUGCGUAGAUAUCGGGAGGAACACCAGUGGCGAAGGCGACUUCCUGGCCUGUUCUUGACGCUGAGGCGCGAAAGCUAGGGUAGCAAACGGG